RNAcentral lists this ribosomal RNA (776 nucleotides) under uncultured bacterium. RNAcentral's name for it is "bacterial SSU rRNA". It matches the Rfam family "Bacterial small subunit ribosomal RNA", at positions 35 to 817 of the family's 1533-position model. The record is from RNAcentral.
GCUGGCGGCGUGCUUACACAUGCAAGUCGAGCGGAGUAACCCAACGGAAGUUUUCGGACGGAAGAUGGAAUUACUUAGCGGCGGACGGGUGAGUAACGCGUGGGCAACCUGCCCUGUACAGAGGAAUAACAUUGGGAAACCAGUGCUAAUACCUCAUAUACCCUUCGGGUGGCAUCACCUGAAGGGGAAAGAUUUAUCGGUACAGGAUGGGCCCGCGUCUGAUUAGUUAGUUGGUGAGGUAACGGCUCACCAAGACGAUGAUCAGUAGCCGACCUGAGAGGGUGAUCGGCCACACUGGAACUGAGACACGGUCCAGACUCCUACGGGAGGCAGCAGUGGGGAAUAUUGCACAAUGGGGGAAACCCUGAUGCAGCAACGCCGCGUGAGCGAUGAAGGCCUUCGGGUCGUAAAGCUCUGUCCUAAGGGAAGAUAUAGACGGUACCUUAGGAGGAAGCCCCGGCUAACUACGUGCCAGCAGCCGCGGUAAUACGUAGGGGGCAAGCGUUAUCCGGAAUUACUGGGCGUAAAGGGUGCGUAGGCGGUCUAAUAAGUCAGAGGUGAAAGACUAUUGCUCAACGAUAGCAAGCCUUUGAAACUAUUGGACUUGAGUGCAGGAGAGGAGAGUGGAAUUUCUAGUGUAGCGGUGAAAUGCGUAGAUAUUAGAAGGAACACCAGUGGCGAAGGCGACUCUCUGGACUGCAACUGACGCUGAGCACGAAAGCGUGGGGAGCAACAGGAUUAGAUACCCUGGUAGUCCCGCCGUAACGAUGAGUGCU